Molecule: non-coding RNA, 3726 nt
Organism: Manis javanica (Malayan pangolin)
Lineage: Eukaryota; Metazoa; Chordata; Mammalia; Pholidota; Manidae
Source: RefSeq, a predicted model, not a curated record
GAAGUCCUUGUACAGGAGGUACUGGAAGCGUCUUCAAGAGCAAGGCCACCUUCCGAGGCUCCAGCUCUCCUGCCGUCAUGGGACUCUCCCUGCCCCACUUAGUCUCCAGUCACGGGCCUGCUGGGCUGACUGUGGGACUUCAGCUUUUGUUGCUGUUCUGACUACACAUAGGCUUAUAGGUUUUGUUGUGAUAAUCUACCUGGUGCAUGUCAUAGUUGGGGGAUUUCUGGGUACUUAACAGAGAUUCAAGUUGCUGGCCUUACUAUUAGAAAGGUGGCACCUUUUGUUAGUUGUAUAGCCCCUCCCCUCUUCAGCAGAGACACAUUCCUUGACUGUGGAGUUUGUGAGGCAGUGUCAGCGGUGGUGAGUGAGGCCAAAGGAGUAUGGCCUGGUGAUGACGGUGAUGACGAUGGUGACGGAUGCUGAUGACAGCCGCCGCUGAGUUCUGCCAUGUAUUAGGCAAACACUGAGACAUAAUAUUUGUUAUCCAUCCCAUUUAAUCCUCAGAACAACCUGAAGAGUUUGCUUUUAUUGUUGGGUUUGUAGAAGCUGAGGUCUGGGAUGUGAGUGACUUGUUCAAGGCCACUUGCUUUGCUGCAGCCAUCUGAGGCAGAGUCAACAUUAUCACAUCUACCCUGGGAAGAGAUUGCAUGAAAGACAGUUGUCCCAAGUUGCUGCUCUUGGAAACCCCAAUGACGAGAAGAGCCCCAAGACUUAUUGUUUCAGUAUCCAAGGUAAUUUUAUCCAGUGGAAGGAAUCAAUAGGCACAUGCCAGUGGAACUCUGCUUUCCAGAAGAGAAACUCAUGCUUCCUCAGGAACUCUUGAGGGUGGAAGAUGGGUUAGCAGAUGCCUUCAUGACCAAAUCUCCUUUUCAGAUUUCAGUUAUUCCUCUUAGUAAUUUAUCUUGAAGAGGAUUCCAUAGUAAGCCAUUGUGUCUCCUCAAUUUCCAUCAAAUUCAUCAUUUAGGAAAAGACCCAAAGGUUGUCCUUUAACACCGUCGUUCCUCCUCUUGGAUGGCCCUGUUUCUGUAAGACACUUCCAGGGUUCCUAGGCCCUGUGUCAGAGACACCAUCUUAGCUUCUCAUAAUGCUUAAUUCAGCAGAGAAGUAAGGCUGGACUUCUCUAGGGUCCAGGGGCUGGCAGGGACAAUGGAAUGAGUCCCAUGACAGCAGGGGCAUCACUAGGAAGUGAGACAAACAUAAACCACAAACUGCUUGGCAUGCCAUUCUGCCACCUUCCUUGCCUCACAAACUCCACAGUCAAGGAGGUGUCUGUGCCAAAGAGGGGAGGGGCUAUACAACCCAGCACUACCUGGGUUGGUGCUUACUGGGUGACAGUGGGUGACAGCCCCACACACAGAGAUCAUGGCAGUCAGAUCUUCAGGCCCAGACGUGUUUACAGAUUCCAAUCCCAGUGUGACUUUCUGCUAUUUGGACAAAAGGUUGGCGGGUUCUUUGUUGAGUGGGAGAAGGGCACCAGCCUUUCUUCAGGUUGUCAGUUCAGAGGUCCAGUGACAACAAAACAUAGGUUGUCUUUGAAGCUGAGAGAAGGAAAUAGCCUAGCUCGGUUUCUCAGCUUAGUCCCCAACUACUGGCAUAUUAUCAGGGUAAGCGAUAUAAGGGGAGAAUUUAGGGGUUGUAAGUAUUGAAAAGCUUGAGCCCUGAAAAACCUGUAAAAGAAAGCAUUUGGACAGGCGCCAUGCUCUAGGCAAGUGUGGCAAUCAAAUGCCUCCACAACCCCUCUCUGUGGCUCUCUCUUGCUUGUCUUAGAGGCAGUCUUGGAAUUCAUUCUCGGUCUGUGGACAAAUUUCCUGACCUCUCUGAGCCUCAGGUUUCUUCAUCUGUUAAGAACAGUACGACUAAUGAUACCUUCCUGGCGUGAUUGUCAUGGGAACUGAAUGGGAUGACAUGUUAAAGUCAUCCUCACCAGCCCAGCAUAGACGAUGCCCACAGUGAGUGUUGAGAGCCUCUCCUUCCCAAACAGAAAGUCAUCUCCUGACUCCCACUCUGUUUUCCCAGUGCCAUCAGGCCUGCAUCCAUGAGCCAGCGCUGCAGCUGACAGAGUACUGAGGAGGGCAGAGGCAGGCGCACACGCCUUUGACAGCUCUCUGCCAUUCGCAGUGCGUUCUGUCCAAAGGCAAACCCUUCCUCACUUGAGGACGGUGAAUUGGCGAGAACACCCCGAGCUUGCCUGUGACCCUCUCCUCUCCCCUGCCUCUGCUCUGUCUGUUUUCCUCUGUGCACUUUUAGAGCAUUUCAUCUGGAGUGCCUGAAUUCCAUUUUUGGUAUAAUCAUGGCAUUUAGGAAAUGAGGAUAUUCUGCCUCAGGCCCUAAGGACCCUGUGUUGUCUCAGCACACGAAGGCAACAGCAGCCAAGAGAUGAACUUCUGCCUGUGAGAGAAAUUAGCUUGAUAUCUGAAUAUUAGUUUAGUACAAUUAAUUAUUGAAACUACUACUUUAACCUGGGUAGUCCCUGCAGUAUAAUUCGUAAUCAUUUUAGUGCUCAUCUCUGCCAGAUUCAGGCCCUCAGCAAAGAAGUUGUGAGGCCGUUGCACAGCCCUCCCUCGUGGUCUUUCCUUGCUGAUGGAGUGGCCCUGAAAGCAGGCACCGCAGUUUUAUUUUCCCUGGAUUUGCCUAUCAGCUUCCUUCCCAGGAACAUCCUCGUAGCACUACUCUUGGCUUCAUGUUACCUCGUUCUUUUAUGUAAAGGGGUUCAUAUCUGGCUCUGGGUUCCAGAGAGGACAGGCCCUGGGACUUGGCCAUCUCUGGAAGGACUUGGACCCUUCCUCCCUUUGGGCUGGAGGGCAUUGUUCUCAGGUAAACAUUCUUAAGCUCCAAGGUCAGUCGAAGAAAGAAGCUGCCCUAUUGUGCCUUGGGUUAGAUUGGUAAAGCUCAUCAUCCCAAAUUAUCCUGUCAGCCUCCCAGAAAUGGUUCAAAUCUGCAUCUAAGAGCUGUGAGGCCCUGCCCUCCACCCCAGCAGGUACUGCCAUUCACCACCCAUGGACCAGAGGACCUCUUCCUUUUUCUCUAUUACAGAAAACUUUGCCUGCCUUUAAUAUGAAAUCCAGUGAGUCAAGGACUGAGUGAGGGUCAUAUUUCUCAAAUUGGGGUUUAGAGAUCUCUUCAUGGGGCAAGGAACAGGCCUGAAAGGCAUAAGUGUCACUUCUGGGAAGCCAUUCCAGCCACCAGAAAGCAUCACUGAAGGCUGAUUCGGGUGUACCUUCUGCCGGGUCCUGUGCUACACCUGCUGACCACAGUGCAUUUCGGGCACUGGUUUGCUUGUCUGCUGCCUCCCCUGCGUCGAGUCCUUUUACAGUUAAGGCCUUGUUCUGUUCAGGAUUAUGAUGAGGAUUACAUUACAGAUGACAUCAGAGAAAACUGUCCUUGCAUAGUGUAUGAAUUCUGAAGAACUACCAUGUAGAAGAAAGAAGCUGUAAAAGUUCGGUUUAAGUCUUUAAAUAUUGUUAUUUACCUCAAAGGCCUACCACUGUUUUGCCUGAUAGUGAGGCAUAAUGAUAAUUACAAAGAACAUUAGAUAUGCCAGGCAAAGUCAUGGAUGCUGACUUGAUUGCAAGGCUGUGCUUUGUCCCCAACCUCCUAAGUUUCCGAUCCGUGUAGUUAGUAUAAGAGUGACAGGAGCUACCACCUCCUAAAUGCCCACAACUCACUAGCAGUGCGCUAGGGGCUACCCAGGUUAUUUCUAAUUCCCAACCAUUCAAGACAGAU